This 372-nucleotide unclassified non-coding RNA is filed under the name soil metagenome. RNAcentral's name for it is "partial contains 5.8S ribosomal RNA, internal transcribed spacer 2, and large subunit ribosomal RNA". The stretch from base 1 to 120 matches the Rfam family "5.8S ribosomal RNA", at positions 35 to 154 of the family's 154-position model. The record is from RNAcentral.
GAUGAAGAACGCAGCGAAAUGCGAUACGUAAUGUGAAUUGCAGAAUUCAGUGAAUCAUCGAGUCUUUGAACGCACAUUGCGCCCUUUGGUAUUCCGAAGGGCAUGCCUGUUCGAGCGUCAUUAUCACCCCUCAAGCCCUCGGCUUGGUGUUGGAAGGUUUGGUGGAGGCCCCCUCGGGGGCUCCUGCCCCUCCCAAAGACAAUGACGGCGGCCUCGUUGGACCCCCGGUACACUGAGUUCUUCACGGGACACGUAUCGGACACAUGGGUUUACGGGACACGGUCUGCCUCCCCUCAGGGAGAAUCUUUCUAAGGUUGACCUCGGAUCAGGUAGGGAUACCCGCUGAACUUAAGCAUAUCAAUAAGCGGAGGA